GAAAUGCGAUAAGUAAUGUGAAUUGCAGAAUUCAGUGAAUCAUCGAAUCAUUGAACGCACCGUGCGCUCCUUGGUAUUCCUUGGAGCAUGCCUGUUUGAGUAUCAUGAAAUCUUCAAAGUAAAUCUUUUGUUAACUCAAUUGGUUUCUACUUUGGUAUUGGAGGUCUUUGCAGCUUCACACCUGCUCCUCUUUGUUCAUUAGCUGGAUCUCAGUGUUAUGCUUGGUUCCACUCGGCGUGAUAAGUUAUCUAUCGCUGAGGACACUGUAAAAGGUGGCCAAGGUAAAUGCAGAUGAACCGCUUCUAAUAGUCCAUUGACUUGGACAAUACUUUUAUGAUCUGAUCUCAAAUCAGGUAGGACUACCCGCUGAACUUAAGC
Molecule: unclassified non-coding RNA, 378 nt
Filed under: plant metagenome
Description: partial contains 5.8S ribosomal RNA, internal transcribed spacer 2, and large subunit ribosomal RNA
Rfam family: 5.8S ribosomal RNA (bases 1-105)
Source: RNAcentral